UGACUAUACAUGCAGUCGAGCGGACCAAAGAAGAGCUUGCUCUUCGGCGGUUAGCGGCGGACGGGUGAGUAACACGUAGGCAACCUGCCUGUACGACUGGGAUAACUCCGGGAAACCGGAGCUAAUACCGGAUACGUUUUUCAGACCGCAUGGUCUGAAAGAGAAAGACCUUUGGUCACGUACAGAUGGGCCUGCGGCGCAUUAGCUAGUUGGUGGGGUAACGGCCUACCAAGGCGACGAUGCGUAGCCGACCUGAGAGGGUGAUCGGCCACACUGGGACUGAGACACGGCCCAGACUCCUACGGGAGGCAGCAGUAGGGAAUCUUCCGCAAUGGACGAAAGUCUGACGGAGCAACGCCGCGUGAACGAUGAAGGUUUUCGGAUCGUAAAGUUCUGUUGUUAGGGAAGAACCGCCGGGAUGACCUCCCGGUCUGACGGUACCUAACGAGAAAGCCCCGGCUAACUACGUGCCAGCAGCCGCGGUAAUACGUAGGGGGCAAGCGUUGUCCGGAAUUAUUGGGCGUAAAGCGCGCGCAGGCGGCUUCUUAAGUCAGGUGUGAAAGCCCACGGCUCAACCGUGGAGGGCCACUUGAAACUGGGAGGCUUGAGUGCAGGAGAGGAGAGCGGAAUUCCACGUGUAGCGGUGAAAUGCGUAGAGAUGUGGAGGAACACCCGUGGCGAAGGCGGCUCUCUGGCCUGUAACUGACGCUGAGGCGCGAAAGCGUGGGGAGCGGAACAGGAUUAGAUGCCCUGGUAGUCCACGCCCGUAAACGUUGAGUGCUAGGUGUUUGGGGAC
RNAcentral lists this ribosomal RNA (796 nucleotides) under Aneurinibacillus aneurinilyticus. Its description in RNAcentral is "bacterial SSU rRNA". It matches the Rfam family "Bacterial small subunit ribosomal RNA", at positions 45 to 831 of the family's 1533-position model. The record is from RNAcentral. Lineage: Bacteria; Bacillati; Bacillota; Bacilli; Caryophanales; Paenibacillaceae.